GAAAUGCGAUAAGUAAUGUGAAUUGCAGAAUUCAGUGAAUGAUCGAAUCUUUGAACGCACAUUGCGCCCGCCAGUAUUCUGGCGGGCAUGCCUGUUCGAGCGUCAUUUCAACCAUCAAGCUUUAGGCUUGUGUUGGAGCCCUGCGGCUGUCAGCAGGCCCCUAAAUACAGUGGCGGGCUCGCUAUCACACCGAGUGCAGUCGUUUUCUUUCUCGCUCAGGGCGCGUAUGGGGUGCUAGCCGUGAAACCCCUUGUUCACAAGCUUGACCCCGGAUCAGGUAGGAAUACCCGCUGAACUCAA
Molecule: unclassified non-coding RNA, 300 nt
Filed under: uncultured Sordariales
Lineage: Eukaryota; Fungi; Ascomycota; Sordariomycetes; Sordariales
Description: sequence contains ITS1
Rfam family: 5.8S ribosomal RNA (bases 1-105)
Source: RNAcentral